UCACUUGUUCGAACACUUGUCACAACAUUAUUGUACAUGUCCUUGAUGAGGGUAAUGUACUUUGCUGGGACUUUGUGUUUCUUCAAGGCCCACCACAUGACAUUCCGCGGUAUCUUAUCAUAGGCCUUCUCCAAGUCAAUGAACUAAUCCCCAGUUAGUGUGCUUGAAAAAUUAUUGCUUGUCAUGAUAAAUUUUAUGGCAUCAACUCGGUAUUGUGAUUAGUGACCUAGUACUCCGUAUUUGUUUAGUGUAGACAGCUAACUUCUUUUUUCUUAUUUUUUAGUGAUACGCGUGUUUUGCUAUGUCUUAUGUUGAUAGUAUAUUCUUUUUUUUGUAUUAUUCAUGUCCAGUCACUGGAAUAAUGCUUUUCUAGAUUUUCCUAGACUUUGUGACAAUUAAUUUGUAGUGCGAUCAUUGAGUUUCUGACAUCCUAUUGCAUAAAAUUCUGUUGUAAUGUUUGUUGGAUCAUUGAGUAGUUAAUAUUGAUUCUGAGCUUGUUGGAUCAUUGAACUUCUGCGUGCACUUCUGUUAUCUGAGAGACACUCACGAUCCCGCAUUUCGUGUUUGCGGCGAGCGAUGAACGAUUACGUUUUGCGUUCCCGCGUUUUGUGUUCGCCGUCUGGUUUUGAAUUUGGAUUACGGAGACGGGGAGAGGCCAGAGUAAGGUCAGUUUCAGAUCGGUUUCGUCGCUGCGUUGAUCGUCGGUGAUUUCCAGACCUCAAACGCAUGCGCCCUUGUGAUACUCUAAUUUGGCUCGUGGUCGUUACGGUUGUUCUUACGUUCUUGAAUAACCCCAUCUUAUUCGCAGAGAUGGUGUGAUUCGUUAUGGUUCUUCUGAUGGCUGCUUAUGUUCUUUCGAAUUGGGUUCUUCUUGUAAUGCUUUGCCUAUGUUCCCAAUGUCUAUCUUUCCAUAUAUGGGGAUGCGUUCAGAGGUGCAAACCAUGUAGGCCGUGGUGUGUUUAUACUAUCUAUGGUGUGUUUUACACUAUCUGAUGUGGAACGUAGAAAUAUUGAUAUCACUUCUGUGCUAGUAUACUAGAUAUGGUGUGUUUCAUCCAAGUUAACCACAUCUCUUACAAAUUUUCCUUGGAGUGAUUGAUGUCUUGACGAAUAUAAUCAUUUAUGCUAACUUGGUAUUGGUAGUUCCUGAGGUAACACACCAAUACUUGUUUAGUGCAGACAAUUGACUAUUCUUUUUUCUGAACUUUUUUGUGAUAUGUGUGUUAUGUGGAUAUCAUAUUCUAAUGCUUUUCUAAGUAUUCAAGGUACAGACUUGUGGAUCUGGACAUGUCACAUUUGCUCUUUAUUGGGUUGCUAAGGACACUGAACAGUUUGGCUGGGCCACUGCACGGCCUGGCUAAUCAGGAAGUGUUGCUAUGAAUCAAAUCUAUAAUGAAACAGACUGGGAGUAACAUCACAACCGACCAACUUAAAGAAUAUGUAUGGAAGACACUGAAGAGUGGAAAGGUUGUAGUGAUUAGAGAGAAGCUUGCAGAACUGUGCUGGCAUUGACUUGGACUCAGGAAUCAGGAUGCUUGAUGACACAAACAAAUUAUCCAAGUGCGUCCAGAUUGAACGACUCUAUUUGGAGGAUGAUGAUGCAGUGAAUGCUGAAGCUUUUAUCAACAAAGCCUCGUUUUUGGUCACAAACAGCAACCAGGAAGUUCUGAAAUUACAAUACAAGGUCUGCUAUGCGAGUAAAUUCUUGGAAGCUUCAAUUCGAUACUAUGGUAUCUGAGCAACGCCAAAUUGGGGAUGAGUUGUUCCUGGCUAUGGUCAUGGAGUUCUACGUAAUACAGACCCAAGAUACUCGUGCCAAAGGGGGUUCACAUUGAAAUAUUUACCCGACCCAAGAUACUCGUGCCGAAGGGAGUUCACAUUGAAAUAUUUACCCGAGGACCCACUUUUCCAACUGGAAUGAAGAUCUGAAUCACCCUCACCUCUCUAGAGAAAUCAAUUUACUCAUUCAAGUUCUAGAAUUUCUUUAUAGUUUUCUGGGUUUACUUUAGUUUUGCAUGUAUUAGCUUUCUCUUUGUGCCCCUAUCUAUCCUUGUUUCUUGUGUGCGAGCGCUCCAUUCUGUGUGUGUGACUGGCUUGACUUUGUGUGUGUGGCUUGAUUAUGUGUGUGGCUUGAUUGUGUGUGUGGCUUGACUGUGUGAAUGGGCUUGACUGUGUGUGUGAGAUUGUGUGUGGCUUGAUGGUGAAUAUGUGUGUGGCUUGACUGUGUGUGUAUGGCUUGACUAUGUGUGUGAUUGUGUGUGAAUAUUGCAUUUGCUUGACGGUGUGGUUUGUAUAACUUGUGUUUUACAUGUCAGGAUUGAUUGUUGUUUGUUGAAUUUGAACAGAUCUAACACUAUUCUUUUUUCUAAACUUUUUUGUGAUUAUGUCUUAUGUGGAUACCAUACUCUUUUUUGUAUUAUUGUUGUCCAGUCACUGGAAUAACGCUUUUCUAAGUAUUUAAGGUACAACCAUGUAGAUCUAGACAUGAUGCUGAUGGGUUGGGUUUGCAUACAAUGCAGUAUGGACCAACAAAAUGGUCUCAUUGCAAGGUGGACAUAUAGGCAAGACAUGUCAAGAGAGAGCUGAUUGGUAAAUAUGAAGCUGAUUUUGAAUUCAUACAUACAGAGAGAAGCUUGGACUAUUGAGGAGGAACAUGCACUGAUUAAUGCCCAUCGGGUAUAUGGGAAUAGAUGGGCAGAAAUAGCAAAAGUUCUUCCUAGAAGGAAUCGGGUACUUCUAUUUGUUCUUAGGUUCUUCUCACCUAUAGUUAAAGUCAAAGAAAACAAAACCAAGUGGAUUAUUGGAGUUACAAGAUACACAAAAUCAUCGGUCAUCUAAAUCUUCUUUUCUAAUAUGAUUGUUGGUGCUACUCAUGAGGCUAGCCACCGGCUUGGAAGCAAUGAGAGGCAAUCACUGUUGUCAAUUUGAAACGUAUAAUUUUUUAGGAACGAAGUUCUGAAUCACCCUCACGCCUCGAGAGAAAUCAGUUUAGUCAUUCAGGUUCUGGUAUUUCUUUAUAGCUUUCUGAGUUUACCUCGGUCUUUCAUGUAUUUGCUUUCUGUUUGUGCCCCUAUCUAUUUCUUUUUCUCGUGUGCAAGCGCUCCAUUCUGUGUGUGUCUGACUUUGUGUGGCUUGACUCUCUUGUGUGUGGCUUGACUGUCUGUGUGUGUCACUGUGUGUUUGACUGUGUGUGAAUAUUGCAUUUGAUUGUGAUGCGUUACUGUGUGUUUGACUCUGUGUGUGUGAUUGUGUGAAUAUUGUGCAUUUGACUGAUGUGUGACUGUGUGAGUAUUGUAUUUUGACAAUGACUGUGUGUGGCUUGACUGUGUGUGUGGCUGGUCUGCUUUGCUGAAUGAUUGGUUGUUGUGGCUUAACACUGCCUCUGCCGGUCCCAAGCCCGGAUGUGAAAAUGUGGAGGGAGUCUGUUUCUUGUGUGCAAGUGCUACAUUGUGUGUGUGUGACUGUGUGUGUGAUGUGUCUGUAUCUAUGUAUGUUUCUUUUGUCUUGAUUGUGUGCAAGUGCUUGAUUGGGUGUGUGCUUGUGUGACCAUGCGUGUAUUGCAUUUGCUUGAUGGUGUGGUUUGUAUAACUUGUGUUUUAUAUGUCAGGAUUGAUUGUUGUUUGUUGAAUUUGAACAGAUCUAACACUAUUCUUUUUUCUAAACUUUUUUGUGAUUAUGUCUUAUGUGGAUACCAUACUCUUUUUUGUAUUAUUGUUGUCCAGUCACUGGAAUAACGCUUUUCUAAGUAUUUAAGGUACAUCCAUGUAGAUCUAGACAUGAUGCUGACGGGUUGGGUUUGCAUACAAUGCAGUAUGGACCAACAAAAUGGUCUCAUUGCAAGGUGGACAUAUAGGCAAGAAAUGUCAAGAGAGAGAGAAGCUUGGACUAUUGAGGAGGAACAUGCACUGAUUAAUGCCCAUCGGGUAUAUGGAAAUAGAUGGGCAGAAAUAGCAAAAGUUCUUCCUAGAAGGAAUCGGGUACUUCUAUUUGUUCUUAGGUUCUUCUCACCUAUAGCUAAAGUCAAAGAAGACAAAACCAAGUGGAUUAUUGGAGUUACAAGAUAUACAAAAUCAUCGGUCAUCUAAAUCUUCUUUUCUAAUAUGAUUGUUGGUGCUGCUCAUGAGGCUAGCCACCGGCUUGGAAGCAAUGAGAGGCAAUCACUGUUGUCAACUUGAAACGUAUAAUUUUUUAGGAACGAAGAUCUGAAUCACCCUCACGCCUCGAGAGAAAUCAGUUUAGUCAUUCAGGUUCUGGUAUUUCUUUAUAGCUUUCUGAGUUUACUUCGGUCUUUCAUGUAUUUGCUUUCUGUUUGUGUCCCUAUCUAUUUAUGUUUCUUGUGUGCAAGCGCUCCAUUUUGUGUGUGUCUGACUUUGUGUGGCUUGACUCUCUUGUGUGUGUGGCUUGACUGUCUGUGUGUGUCACUGUGUGUUUGACUUUGUGUGAAUAUUGCAUUUGAUUGUGAUGCGUUACUGUGUGUUUAACUCUGUGUGUGUGAUUGUGUGAAUAUUGUGCAUUUGACUGAUGUGUGACUGUGUGAGUAUUGUAUUUUGAUAAUGAUUGUGUGUGGCUUGACUGUGUGUGUGGCUUGUCUGCUUUGCUGAAUGAUUGGUUGUUGUGGCUUAACACUGCCUCUGCCGGUCCCAAGCCCGGAUGUGAAAAUGUGGAGGGAGUCUGUUUCUUGUGUGCAAGUGCUACAUUGUGUGUGACUGUGUGUGUGAUGUGUCCGUAUCUAUGUCUGUUUCUUUUGUCUUGAUUGUGUGCAAGUGCUUGAUUGGGUGUGUGCUUGUGUGACCAUGCGUGUAUUGCAUUUGCUUGACGGUGUGCUUUGUAUAACUUGUGUUUUAUAUGUCAGGAUUGAUUGUUGCUUGUUGAAUUUGAACAGAUCUAACACUAUUCUUUUUUCUAAACUUUUUUGUGAUUAUGUCUUAUGUGGAUACCAUACUCUUUUUUGUAUUAUUGUUGUCCAGUCACUGGAAUAACGCUUUUCUAAGUAUUUAAGGUACAUCCAUGUAGAUCUAGACAUGAUGCUGAUGGGUUGGGUUUGCAUACAAUGCAGUAUGGACCAACAAAAUGGUCUCAAUGCAAGGUGGACAUAUAGGCAAGAAAUGUCAAGAGAGAGAGAAGCUUGGACAAUUGAGGAGGACAUGCACUGAUUAAUGCCCAUCGGGUAUAUGGGAAUAGAUGGGCAGAAAUAGCAAAAGUUCUUCCUAGAAGGAAUCGGGUACUUCUAUUUGUUCUUAGGUUCUUCUCACCUAUAGCUAAAGUCAAAGACGACAAAACCAAGUGGAUUAUUGGAGUUACAAGAUACACAAAAUCAUCGGUCAUCUAAAUCUUCUUUUCUAAUAUGACUUUUGGUGCUGCUCAUGAGGCUAGCCACCGGCUUGGAAGCGAUGAGAGGCAAUCACUGUUGUCAACUUGAAAUGUAUAAUUUUUUAGGAACGAAGAUCUGAAUCACCCUCCCACCUCGAGAGAAAUCAGUUUAAUCAUUCAGGUUCUGAUUUCUUUAUUCAUGUAUUUGCUUUCUGUUUGUGCCCCUAUCUAUUUCUAUUUCUUGUGUGCAAGCGCUCCAUUCUGUGUGUGUCCGACUUUGUGUGGCUUGACGCUCUUGUGUGUGGCUUCACUGUCAGUGUGUGUCACUGUGUGUUUGACUGUGUGUGAAUAUUGUAUUUGACUGUGAUGCGUUACUGUUUGUUUGACUCUGUGUGUGUGAUUGUGUGAAUAUUGUGCAUUUGACUGUGCUGUGUGAUUGUGUGAGUAUUGUAUUUUGACAAUGACUGUGUGUGGCUUGACUGUGUGUGUGUGGCUUGUAUGCUUUGCUGAAUGAUUGGUUGUUGUGGCUUAACACUGUCUCUGCCGGUCCCAAGCCCGGAUGUGAAAAUGUGAAGGGAGUCUAUUUCUUGUGUGUAAGUGCUACAUUGUGUGUGUGACUGUGUGUGUGAUGUGUGCGUAUCUAUCUCUGUUUCUUUUGUCUUGAUUGUGUGCAAGUGCUUGAUUGGGUGUGUGCUUGUGUGACCAUGCGUGUAUUGCAUUUGCUUCACGGUGUGGUUUGUAUAACUUGUGUUUUAUAUGUCAGGAUUGAUUGUUGUUUGUUGAAUUUGAACAGAUCUAACACUAUUCUUUUUUCUAAUCUUUUUUGUGAUUAUCUUAUGUGGAUACCAUACUCUUUUUUGUAUUAUUGUUGUCCAGUCACUGGAAUAACGCUUUUCUAAGUAUUUAAGGUACAACCAUGUAGAUCUAGACAUGACGCUGAUGGGUUGGGUUUGCAUACAAUGCAGUACGGACCAACAAAAUGGUCUCAUUGCAAGGUGGACAUAUAGGCAAGACAUGUCAAGAGAGAGAGAAGCUUGGACUAUGGAGGAGGAACAUGCACUGAUUAAUGCCCAUCGGAUAUAUGGGAAUAGAUGGGCAGAAAUAGCAAAAGUUCUUCCCUGAAGGAAUCGGGUACUUCUAUUUGUUCUUAGGUUCUUCUCACCUAUAGCUAAAGUCAAAGAAGACAAAACCAAGUGGAUUAUUGGAGUUACAAGAUACACAAAAUCAUCGGUCAUCUAAAUCUUCUUUUCUAAUAUGACUGUUGGUGCUGCUCAUGAGGCUAGCCACCGGCUUGGAAGCGAUGAGAGGCAAUCACUGUUGUCAACUUGAAACGUAUAAUUUUUUAGGAACGAAGAUCUGAAUCACCCUCCCGCCUCGAGAGAAAUCAGUUUAGUCAUUCAGAGAGAAGCUUGGACUAUUGAGGAGGAACAUGCACUGAUUAAUGCCCAUCGGGUAUAUGGGAAUAUAUGGGCAGAAAUAGCAAAACUUCUUCCUAGAAGGAAGCGGGUACUUCUAUUUGUUCUUAGGUUCUUCUCACCUAUAGCUAAAGUCAAAGACGACGAAGCCAAGUGGAUUUUUGGAGUUACAAGAUACACAAAAUCAUCGGUCAUCUAAAUCUUCUUUUCUAAUAUGACUGUUGGUGCUGCUCAUGAGGCUAGCCACCGGCUUGGAAGCGAUGAGAGGCAAUCACUGUUGUCAACUUGAAACGUAUAAUUUUUUAGGAACGAAGAUCUGAAUCACCCUCCCGCCUCGAGAGAAAUCAGUUUAGUCAUUCAGUAUGGACCAACAAAAUGGUCUCAUUGCAAGGUGGACAUAUAGGCAAGAAAUGUCAAGAGAGAGAGAAGCUUGGACUAUUGAGGAGGAACAUGCACUGAUUAAUGCCCAUCAGGUAUAUGGGAAUAGAUGGGCAGAAAUUGCAAAAGUUCUUCCUAGAAGGAAUCGGGUACUUCUAUUUGUUCUUAGGUUCUUCUCACCUAUAGCUAAAGUCAAAGACGACAAAACCAAGUGGAUUAUUGGAGUUACAAGAUACACAAAAUCAUCGGUCAUCUAAAUCUUCUUUUCUAAUAUGACUGUUGGUGCUGCUCAUGAGGCUAGCCACCGGCUUGGAAGCGAUGAGAGGCAAUCACUGUUGUCAACUUGAAACGUAUAAUUUUUUAGGAACGAAGAUCUGAAUCACCCUCCCGCCUCGAGAGAAAUCAGUUUAGUCAUUCAGGUACAACCAUGUAGAUCUAGACAUGAUGCUGAUGGGUUGGGUUUGCAUACAAUGCAGUACGGACCAACAGAAUGGUCUCAUUGCAAGGUGGACAUAUAGGCAAGACAUGUCAAGAGAGAGAGAAGCUUGGACUAUUGAGGAGGAACAUGCACUGAUUAAUGCCCAUCGGGUAUAUGGGAAUAGAUGGGCAGAAAUAGCAAAAGUUCUUCCUAGAAGGAAUCGGGUACUUCUAUUUGUUCUUAUGUUCUUCUCACCUAUAGGUAAAGUCAAAGAAGACAAAACCAAGUGGAUUAUUGGAGUUACAAGAUACACAAAAUCAUCGGUAAGUUUCUAUCCUUUCAAAUGGGCGGAUUAUGAAUUUUGAUCAGUUUGUCUGACUUGUUUUAAACUGAAUCCUUGAUUCCUUGAUAACUUUGAUCAUAAACUGAUUCCCAAGUAUUUUUGACUCAUAUGAUGCUUAUUACUCCCUCCAUUCCUUUAUAUAAGGUGUAUUUAUUUUUUGAUAAAAUUCCAUAAUGUAAGGUGCAUUUCUUCUAAUUCCUCAUAAUUCCCUUAUUAGACAUCUAGAAAAAUGGAAAGUAUCCCUCUCCUGAUUGUCUGUAUCUCUCCUUUAGCAAAAGAAGGAAAGUAUCUCUCUGUCGAUUGCAUGCAUCUCUUACUUUCCUGGACUAAUUGAUUUACUUACCACUAAUCAACAAAUUUGCCAAGGGUAUUUCAGUCCUAACAUGUCUAUAAUUUCGUGCCUUGGUCACCGUGCUGAAAAUAAUACACCUUACAUAAUCGUAUGGAGGGAGUACAUCACAGGUCAUCUAAAUCUUCUUUUCUAAUAUGACUGCUUGUGCUGCUCAUGAGGUAAGCUACUUUUCUUGCUUUCAAGAAUAAAUCAUUCACAUCGUGGUCACUCACAUUUUAAGGUGCUCAUGCCAUUUCAGGCUAGCCACCGGCUUGGAAGCGAUUUUAGGACCUUGUUGCUUGCAUUCUCGUGUCUUUUGGCAAGGAGAAAUUAUCAUUUGGAGGGGAAAAGACAGCUGAAAACAUGCAAGAUAGUAUAUGCAAAAGACAUUCCCUUCAGUUAUUGAAUCAGAGUUCAGCGGUGAAGAACACUACAAUUUUUUGGUUGAUGGAUUGAUCUGAAUAGAUUGUAAGGAAUUUCCAUGAAGUGGUUAUUCAAAGAAUGGAACCAAUUUUAUGGUGAGUCUUACAGAAAUGUAGGGAAAGGCUGCGUACUAUAGACCCAAAGUGGUCAGACCCUUCCCUGGACCCUGCGCAAGCGGGAGCUACAUGCACCAGGCUUUCUAAAAUGGACGUGCAUAGAUCUGAGAAAGAAGAGAACAUGAAUCUAGCGGACGGAGGUCAUGUAGUAUUCACUAAUAGAUGAUAGAACCACAUAUUUUGGAAAUUCCUUGACAAAAAACACAAGAGCAUCAUUGUUUGGUCAAUUGCAGGUCAAUGUUGGCACUGGCCAGAUCAAGCAGGCAGUGGCGACACUAGACGAGGCGUCCUUGCACUGCAAGGCUGCCCUCGACAUAUGUGAAAAGUUUGGCGAGUUAAUUCUUUUCCUCGAAUCAAACGGAAAUCUGAAAACUAUCAAAGAGAUACCAAAUGAUGAAUAUUUCAGAUGUCGACAGGCAUGGUUGACUAUGAUGUGCUCAUCGUUGACUCCACCACCGUUGGUUUUGAGGAUGGUACCUCAAGAAUGACCAGACCUGUGAGCACGCCGUCCUUGCAUUCACUCUUGGAGUGAAGAAGAGUAUCUGCUGUUUAAUAAGAGCCUUCUGAUCUUCGUACUAUAAAGUCUGGAUGUGAUGGCCAUUGUGCUUACUAUCAAAACUGUUACUUGAUGAGAACAUUCUAAGCUAAUUCAAGAUAUGUGCUUCCCCCUUGAUGAACUAUUAUACAUACUUCAGCAGGAAAAACGUGUUUAAUCUACCAUGAACGUAAAUGGAUGAUAGCAGGAUGUUAAAACUUCAUAUAUGUUGUUGCUCAUCGGAUAUAACUAUAACAUGAUGGUCUCAGUUUAUUUUUCAGAGUUCGAAACCUAUAUUAGUCAUCAUGAGAGUGAGAUUUGUAAAUUCCACCUUGAAUCAGUGAACACUUUCCCUUUGCUGUACAAUUUUUUUGUUCUUAUGAUGGUACCAUGCUUGCUAAUUAUAAGAGGUACAAAUAAACUAUUCCUUUGUUUGUCUAGAAAUAGUUUUUCUACUUUCUAUGCAUUGAAGAGAUAGCAAAUCCCUUGCUACAUGUACUAGGGCGAUGCCCAGGUUCACCAAAGGGUCUUUUCAUGCAUGAAAAAGAGAGUAUAUAUCUUCUAGCUAUUAUCAGGUUGUAGGUGUACACAUGGUUAUUGAGUACCAUGACAUAAUCAUCCAUAGUUUCGUGAAAUUUGAAUUCCCAUCUCUUUAUCGUAUUAUUCAUUUUGCACUCGGCUUUCAUAGAAGAUAAAGGUUUGUUUUGUUUUGUUCAUACGACCUGUUUUGGCUUUUGAGAUCAGUUGAAAGCUCUUGAUAUUUUGAAGUUUAUACUGCACUUCACACAAAAAUAUCUGGGCAUAUGUUUCUUUAUUCAGCGAAGUGAACACCUAUACUCAGAUGCUUUUUCCACGGGCAUUCACCGUUUACUUGAUUACUGAUGGAAGGAUCUCCGUGCCAAUUGCUGUUGGGAACCAUUUGCCUCUACACCGAUAACCCUCAUGUUGUAUUAUACCAUGAGCUACCAUGACGUCCUCCACCGACCGCUAUUUGAACCUCAGCGCAUUCUUCUGUAAAAGUGACUCGCAUCAAGUCUUUUGCGCUUUCCUCUUGACUUUCUAAAUGCGGAUCAUAUUAUGUGUUAUUGCUUUCUUUAAGAUAUAUCACUGGCCAUGGAUUUCCUUUUAUCCGUCACCACCUUCAUACCUUUCUAUCCUGGAAUUUAUAUGGUGUACUGAGCUAUAUGGGAUUGGUGUUUA
This is a long non-coding RNA of Triticum aestivum (bread wheat), 10469 nucleotides long. RefSeq lists it as uncharacterized. NCBI's taxonomy places the organism in Eukaryota, Viridiplantae, Streptophyta, Magnoliopsida, Poales, Poaceae. The record is from RefSeq and is a predicted model, not a curated record. The transcript is spliced from 53 exons.